Unclassified non-coding RNA from Pongo abelii (Sumatran orangutan), 148 nucleotides. It matches the Rfam family "Metazoan signal recognition particle RNA". From Rfam's summary of the family: The signal recognition particle (SRP) is a universally conserved ribonucleoprotein. It is involved in the co-translational targeting of proteins to membranes. The record is from Ensembl. NCBI's taxonomy places the organism in Eukaryota, Metazoa, Chordata, Mammalia, Primates, Hominidae.
GCCAGGCAUGGUGUUGCAUGCCUGUAGCCCCAGUUACUCAGGAGGCUGAGGUGGGAGGAUCACUUGAGCCCAGGAGGUUGAGGCUGCAGUGAGCCAUGAUCGCACCACUGCACUUCAGCCUUGGCAACAGAGUGAGAUCCUGCCUCAA